Molecule: ribosomal RNA, 100 nt
Filed under: uncultured bacterium
Lineage: Bacteria
Description: partial 16S ribosomal RNA
Rfam family: Bacterial small subunit ribosomal RNA
Source: RNAcentral
UACACACCGCCCGUCACACCAUGGGAGUGAAUUGCUCCAGAAGUCGUUUGGUCCAACCGCAAGGAGGACCGCGCCCAAGGAGUGAUUCGUAACUGGGGUG